AGGGCGUAUGGUGGAUGCCUUGGCAGACAGUACCGAUGAAGGACGUUUGAGGAUGCGAUAAUCCUAGGGGAGCCUCCAACAUGGCUUUGAUCCUAGGGUCUCCGAAUGGGGGAACCCGCCGGCCGUCAUGGGCCGGCACCGCCUAUGGGCGGGGGGUACGCAGGGAAGUGAAACAUCUCAGUACCUGCAGGAAGGGAUACUCCGUGAGUAGUGGCGAGCGAAAGCGGAUCAGACCAAACCGGUUGCGCGUGAUACCCGUCGGGGGUUGCGUUGCCGGUGUCGUGGGAUCACGUGUCCCGGUUCCGACGGGCCGGGCGGGAGUCAUAAAACGGCUUGCCAGGGGAACAGGCUUGAAGGCCUGGCCGUAGAGGGUGCCAGCCCCGUACCUGGACGUGAGCCGUCUUCCGAUCGUGUUGUCCCAAGUAGCGCGGGCCUCGUGGAAUCCCGCGUGAAUCAGCCCAGACCGUUGGGUAAGUCUAAGCAUACCUGUCUGACCGAUAGCGUACCAGUACCGUGAGGGAAAGGUGAAAAGCACCCCGGGAGGGGAGUGAAACAGUUCCUGAAACCGUGCGCCCACAAACCGUCGGAGCCUCCUUGUGGGGUGACGGCGUGCCUAUCGAAAAAUGAGUCUGCGAGUCAGUGGCGGGUGGCGAGCAUAAGCCGUGUGGCGUAUGCGUAGCGAAAGCGAGUCUUAAAAGGCGUUUGUAGUCGCUUGUCCUGGACCCGAAGCGGGAUGAUCUAGCCCUGGGCAGGUUGAAGCGCGGGUAAGACCGCGUGGAGGACCGAACCCACCUGGGUUGAAAACCGGGGGGAUGACCUGGGGCUAGGGGUGAAAGGCCAAUCAAAUUCCGUGAUAGCUGGUUCUCUCCGAAAUGCAUUUAGGUGCAGCGUCGGUCGAUUGCGUCGCGGGGGUAGAGCUACCGGAUGCUUGCGGGCCCUUGUUGGGUACCAACAGCAGCCGAACUCCGAAUACCGUUGACGUGUAUUCCGGCAGUGAGUCGGCGGGGGAUAAGCUCCGUCGUCGAGAGGGAGACAGCCCAGACCGUCGUCUAAGGUCCCGAAGCGUGUGCUAAGUGGGAAAGGAUGUGGAGUCGCAUAGACAGCCAGGAGGUUGGCUCAGAAGCAGCCAUCCUUGAAAGAGUGCGUAACAGCUCACUGGUCUAGUGGUUCCGCGCCGACAAUGUAGCGGGGCUCAAGCACACCACCGAAGACGCGGCAGCAAUCUUCAUGGUUGCUGGGUAGGAGAGCGUCCUGCGAGGGGCGAAGCGGCCGGGUAACCGUGCCGUGGACUUCGUGGGAGUGAGAAUGCAGACAUGAGUAGCGAGAGACGGGUGAGGAUCCCGUCCGCUGGAUGACCAAGGGUUCCGGGGCCACGUUCGUCGUCCCCGGGUGAGUCGGGUCCUAAGGCGAGGCCGACAGGCGUAGUCGAAUGGAUGAACGGGUGGAUAUUCCCGUACCGACCAUGGACCGGCAAAACCGAGACGGUGAGUACUAACCUCCGCCUCGUGGUGGUUCCUUCCUUCGGGUUGGUAUCGCCGCGUGGCGUUGGGAGCGUAGCCGCAGUAGGUCAGCGCAGGGGUGACACGGAAUGGGAGCCGGCCGCGGAGGUGGUUUUCCGUGGUCAAGCACGCAGCCAGUCAUGUAGGCAAAUCCGCAUGGCGUGCAUGGCGAGGUGUGAUGAUGGGAGCCGUUAUGGCUCGAUAUCCGGUUGUCCAGGCCGUCGAGAAAAGCCUCGGCGUGAGGGCCAUGGCCGCCCGUACCCCAAACCGACACUGGUGGUCAGGUAGAGAAUACCAAGGCGAUCGAGCGAAUCCUGGUCAAGGAACUCGGCAAAUCACUCCCGUGCCUUCGGUAUAAGGGAGACCCACUGGGGUGAAGGACCUUGCGUCCGGAGCUUUGGUGGGUGGCACAGACCAGGGGGUAGCGACUGUUUACCAAAAACACAGGUGCAUGCGAAGGCGAAAGCCGCUGUAUAUGCACUGACGCCUGCCCGGUGCCGGAAGGUUAAGAGGAUCCGUCAAUCCCUUCGGGAUGAAGCGGUGAAUUCAAGCCCCGGUAAACGGCGGUGGUAACUAUAACCAUCCUAAGGUAGCGAAAUUCCUUGUCGGGUAAGUUCCGACCUGCACGAAUGGCGUAA
Molecule: ribosomal RNA, 2137 nt
Filed under: human gut metagenome
Description: bacterial LSU rRNA
Rfam family: Bacterial large subunit ribosomal RNA
Source: RNAcentral